CUCCAGUGUGACCUCAUCUCAGCUAAUUACAUCUGCAGCAACCCUAUUUCCAAACACGGUCGGAUUCGGAGGUUAGGACUCAUACAGAUCUUUCUGGGGACACAGUUCGACCCGUUGUCACCAACAGGUGACAAAAGGAGUUUUGCCCUGAUCCUUCAUACAAUGGGUCCAUUGGGACCAUGGACCAGAUGGGGUUAUGGCUUCAGUCCCAGAGUGGGUAUAAUGACGUCAGUGACACUGCCACUGACCUGAGCUGUGUGGGGCCGGCAGGUUCCUGUGACAACCCCCUUUAGUCCUUCAGCGCAGCAAGUACACAAGACGCAAUGGCCGUGGAGUGACUAGAGCCCGUCAGAGCCCGAUCACAUGCGCACCAGGAACGCUCCCUGUCCACGCUGCCACACAGCCCCAGGCCAGAGGACGCUUCCCUCCCCUCCCAUACACAGAAGAUGCCGGGAGCCGUUGCCUUUAAUCUGCCUGGGACACCAGGAUGCCUCCCGCUCCCCGCUCAGGAUUAGCUCCUGGAUGCCUUGGGGAGACACGGGCAUGUGGGAGUGGAGCAGAGUCCCACAGAUGACCACGGAAGAGUCGUCCCGGGCUCUUCCGUGUGCUCCCUCGGCACCCACGCUCCCGGCCGCCUCAGUGAACUUGGGCUCGGCCCUAAGGAAGAGCACGUUUAUGUGUCCUUUUGGGCUUUCUUAAUGCAAAUACAAAUAUGUAUUUCCUCCUCAUAGUGGGCGGAAUGAUGGCCCCCAAAAUGAUAUGUCUGCAUCCUAACCCCUGGUACCUGUGAUGUGGCUUAACUGGGGAAAAGGGUCUUUGCCGGUGAAAGUAAAUUAAGGAUCUAGAGACGAGACCAGAGGCAGAGACUAGAGAGAUGCAGCUGCAAGCCAAAGGAUGUCUGGAGCCGUGGAAGCUGGAAGAGGCAGGAAGGAUCCUCCCCUGGGGCCUCCACAGGCAGCACGGCCCUGCCCACGCCCCGAGUCAGACUCGUGGCCUCUAGGACUGUGAGAGAAUAGAUUUCUGUCAUUUUAGGCACCAAGUUUGUGGUAGUUUUUUACAGCAGCCACAGGAAACUAAAUACUCCAUUUCCUACAUAAAAAGUAGCAUAACGUAAGGCAGUUCUGCUCCACUCCCCCGCCCCCGACCCCCCGCUUGCUUUUAGGUCCUACAGCCCAGAGAGUGCUCCACAGCGUGCAGGGAGCAUUGCCCUUCCUCUUUGACAACUGCCUGGUAUUUGGUGGUGUGGAUGAACUCUGGCUUCUUAACCGGCCCUUGAUGAUCUCAUCUCCUGCCCUUGCCAGUCAGGGGCAGUGAAUAACGUGGCAUAAAAUCUUUGCUUAAGAGCAUAGGUGUGUCUGCGGGGAAAUCUCCAGAUCUGACUAGGAUCACAGCUGAAUGCACUUGUGGUUUUGGUUGAUACUGCUAAGUUGCCCUUCAUGGGCAUAUCACACCUUGAGAGAGCCACAGCUGGAGGGAGUUCUCUUUUUGCCCCUUGGCCUUUUCCUUCUUCUUGUGUAGAUGUGACAGCUGGAGCCCCAGCAGCCUCCUUCUGACCAUGAGGAUUAAAGCUGAGUCUAAGAAUGGCAGAAUGUGCCAGCCUCAAAUGGCCCCUGUGGACUCAUCUUAGGAGAGAGGAUGAACCCCCACUAUAUGGAAAGCACUGUUACUAGCAGCCAAAUCUAGGAGGCAUGAACUUGGUGAGUUUCUUUGGAAGCUGUCAUCACUCUCUGAGAGCCUCUCAGGCUGACCCUUGAGCAGGCUCUGCAGCUGGUCCAGGUUCAGGGGAAGCUACUCUGUCUCAGGACAUAGUCACUUUGACAGUGUACAGUGUCCCUGGAAAGAGAGACGUCCUUGGGGCCUGUGCUGCAUCCCGAAAGGAGUAUCUCAGGACAGACUCUGAGCCAUGCCCUCUCCUGAAAGUGACUGGUCCCCUUUGAGGACGACCCGAGGCCUUCUGGGCCCUGGCAGGGAUGAACCAUGUGACUAGGGAAGCCGGGGACCAGGUGCCCUGAACUGCCCAUCAUAAACUGGGAGUUAUCGAUUCACUGGCUGUAAAGUUGGGCGUGUGCAGCCGAGCUCCACUGUCCAGAGAAGACAGCACAUCGGGCGAGCAGGUGGCAAACAGCAAGCCCAUUGGCAGGAGCAGGUGGCCCAGGCACCUCGCUGUACGCAUGCCUUCUGCCAUCCCUUCCUCACCUGCACCCUUAGCCUCAGGUGCACACACCUGCCCCCUGGUGAUGGAGUUGGGGGGAUAGACUAUGGAUAACUCUGCCCGAUGCCGUGGCCCCAGCUGGGAAGACAGCCCACGGUCCCACCAGGGGUGAGAGGGAAGGGAGAGAGGGGAGAGCCUCUGUGGGCGGAGAAUUUGAAGCCAUAUGUCUGGCCUCUCACGGCCCCUGAAGAAACUCCGUGGAACAGCAGCUGGUGUGUGGAGGCAGAUGGUCAGAGAUGUGGCGAGAGCAGGACUGGGGAGCAGGGGCCUAGGAGGGGCACAAGGGGCAUGCGCUGGAGUGGAGGCAGGGGCGUGGAGGGCCCCCGACACCAAGGAAGCUCCAAGUCCCCCAGGGCCUGCUCAGUGGGGUCAGGAACAAGGGCGCCAUGGUGGUAGGGACAGAGGCCCUACAUGGGCUCGACAGCAGCAACUCCCCGCCUCGAGGCUCGCUGGCUGCGGCCACUUCUGAGUGCCCCGUCUGCCCCCUGCAGGGACCACGAAAGAGCCCGAUACAGCACCGUGCCCCAGAGCAAGCAGCCCGCCCUCCAACAGCAUUGAGGGGGGAGCCUUGCAGAGGUGGUGCUGGGGUGUGGAGGCCCCUCACACAAGGGCCUCGGUCCCGGACGGGCAGCGUGGUGCAUCACAGUAGGGUCCUUGGGAGCCCACCGUCCCUCAGCCGCACCGGGGUCACCUUAGCCCACCCCAGAUGCACUCCCAGCUGCUGGAGCACACACCUCGAGUCCAGAAUGUCGGGUCCAUGUGCUCACACUGGCGCUCCCAGCCGGCCCACACUUGCUCAAGCACCCAAGCCCAUCCUCACACGCAAUCCAGACUUUUGCUCACAUUCCUUUGAAAAGUCACUUGGGUGUGGACUCUGGCUCAGUUUCCCCGAGUCUGACGUGGCUCGUGGCUCUCGGCCCCCGGGGUGAGGUCUGGUGGAUGGUAAGGGAUGGCGUGUGGGCGCCAGGCUUUGGAAGUGCCCUCCUAAGGCAAGGGGGCACCCGUGGGUGGUAGCAUCAGGCUGGCAAUGCGGAGGGGUGUCGGGGAAAGGCCUCGUUAGGUCUGUCCGGUGCCACAGAAGCUGCUCCAGCCCACGGUCUCCAAAUGCCUCGUGCCAGCCAUUGCUCAGCCUGCUGACAGGUGAGCUUUCCCUUCCCUGCUCACUCAGCGCCCACCUUGGGGAGGGGGGCAGUCCACGGCGGGUUGGGGAGACCAGCCCGGGCGUCCUCUGGAUACACAUGUCCUUCCCUUCCAGCACAGGGGAAGAGGAGCGGUGCUGAGGCCCUCCAGCCACCUCUGAUGGGGCGCGGGGCUCAGGGCCACCGUCUGAGUGGAUGGAAGCCUCGUCAACCGCCGUGUGGCAGGGCUGCUGAUGUUUUGGCCUCCACCUCUCUGUGCCUGGGUCUUAUUUCCUCAUUAGCUUCCAACUCAAGAGGAGGGGAGAUGUGGUUCGUCAUCAUGGAAGCCCCAGUGCUCAGGACAACCCUAACUAGCCGACUUGCCCUGGGCCCUGGGAGGCCAAGCAGCUUCCCAGAGCCUGAGGGCCAGGCUCCAAUGCCAGGCGUGCAGGUGUGGCUGCGGGCACAAGUGCCCACCAGGAGUCCACCUGCACGAAGAGGAAAGAGGACCACAGCGCUUUGCAUUUUCUUGGGAUGGAUAACACCGCACACGAUGUCUCGCCACAGGGCAGUUUACUCUCCUGCCUGCUGUCCCAGCACGGCCACAGGAUGCCAUGAUCUGACAGUCCGCAGAGCAUCGCAUCGCUCCCCUGUUGUGAGGAUGUCAGAUCAUGGGACCAGGUGACACUGUGGAUGCUCUGUCCAGACACCUCCCAGUCCCAAGGGUGGAGACAGGUGGACAAAGCGUCUGGUGGUUUGCUGCCAAUCCUUGGCAUCCCUCGGCCUGUGAAUGUGUCACUCCAAUCUCCGCCUCUGUCAUCGAUCCGCCUUCUCCCCUCGCGUGUCUCUGCCUCACGCGGCGCGUUCACACGGCUCUCCUAGAUGGACACCACUCACGCUGGAUCAGGGCCCACCCUAAUGACCUCAUCUUUACUCAAUUAUAUCAUCCGCAAAACUCUAUUUCCAAGUAAGGUCACGUUCACAGGUACUGGGCGAGGAUUCCAACCUAUCUUUCUGAGGGAUGCAGUUCGACCCACACCAGCACGUGACCAAAUGAGAGCCAAUGUGAUUUUUCUAGAACUGGUGGGAGAGAGGUACGUGGGCUUCUUUUCUCCUACUGUGAUGGUGGGAGCCUAGGGCUGCCACUAUGCCACAUAUAACCCGAGAAUGCAGCCAAACGGCAGGAAAUAUAGCCAAGAAAUGGAGAAGAAAAGAAGCCAAAGAAGCAGCGUGACUCUGUUUGAUCCCCCGGACUAAGCUGUUCCUGAAGGCAUACUUCCCCCGGGCUUCUCACAAUGCAAGCAAACAAAUUCCCUUUUUUGCCUAAACCACUUUCUGUGAAAUUUUCUGUCAUGAGGAAUCCCAGCAAUCCCAAACGGUUGAGAAAUUGCCACAAGGCACGGGGUUUACUAGCCGUGGCCUGAGACAGAGCGGGCCGGAGGGAGGGCAGGGAAGCAAUCCCCCGCUCGGGGAAGUUGGUGAUAAACUUGGCCUGGACGAGGGGCAAGUGACUGUGCCUCCCACCCCUGCAUUUGUUUCAAGUCAUUCUGGGCUGGGUCACGGGCCGGGCUGGGUGGACAGUCAGAGAAAGUCGUGACUCUGGUCGCAGCCCUGGAAGGAUGGGUCGAAAAUAGACUGAUGCUACACAGCUCCCACGAGGACUGGCAUGGUAUUGGCAGGGAGGCCUGAGGCCACAGAGAGAUUCUGGAAGCUGUUUUUCCCCUGGGUAACCCCUAAGCCACUUGCUGAAGUGGUCUGUCUUUGAGAUGCUGCUCACAGGGGGGUGUUUUGUCCCCAUGAUGGCAGGUCAAGGGGAUGCUCCCAGCAAGGCACCGGCUCUCCCAGAUGACAGGAGUCAUGGCUACUUCUGUCCAGCCGGAUGUGAGAGGCACUGUGGCCCCUGGCCCUGGGUUCUUCUGCCCUGGUCCCCUUCACAGGGACUGCAGUGUAACCCACACAGUCCCUCCCCACCCUGCAUACUGGAGUGGACAAAUGGGUCACCCAGUGGCCGAGGGGAGCACCCGGGUACGCGACUUUGGGAGUGAGAUUGUGUUACUCGCUGAGAUGUCAUGUGGUCAUCUUCCAGAGGGGCCUGAGCACGAGGUGGGGCGGCUUUUGCGUGCCAUGCACUUUAAGUGUGUGUGGGGGGAGAAAGGCGUGUGGACAUUGGGCAGCCAGGGGUGGACGGGAAACGUGUGCUGGCUGCCCCUCGGGCCACCCCUCUGCCUGGGCACGGUCAGUGCAGGGAGGGGCAGGUGUCCUCUGUACCAACAGGCCCACGAGACCCUUCCCUGGUCUUCCGGGAGAGAAGCGAGAGGUUUCCUUUCUUCCCGCUGGGCCUGUGGUGUUGAGCCUGGUGCGCCUGGAGCUGCCAGGACACGCAGGCUGAGACUGAGAGUGGAGCAGCAGGGGACAGGCAGUGCACGGGCCCUGGGGACACCAUCCCCGCCCUGCAUCAGCCAAGCCCCUCUCUCAGCUUCCCGGUAAUUUCCAGUCAACAGUCUCUCUUUUUUAAGCCGGUUUGAGCUGGGUUUCUGGUGACUGACGGAUGGAGCCCUUCCCUCCGUGGGGCCGCAGGGGCCUCUGCAGGACCUGCCACGUGACUGCUUCUUCUCCAGCUCUGAGAUGGGGGCCCUCGUGGGGUAGGGGUGCAGGCCCUCGGGUCUCAGGUCCCCCCAGACUGUCUGGGCUUGUCUAUCACAAAGACACAUGCACUGGUAAGUGACCAACUCUCACUCUGCCGUGCCUUCUCCUAGGAAAUCUUUGCAUCUUGCAGAGAAGAGCCUUUUCUUAUUUCGCAGGCACCUCCUGCCAAUCAGGAAGGUGGCAAAUGGAUCUCUGCCACCUGCCUGCCCCACCCUCCCCCACCAUGCCAGCUCUUUCCUCCAGGGCC
Equus caballus (horse) is the source of this 6223-nucleotide non-coding RNA. Lineage: Eukaryota; Metazoa; Chordata; Mammalia; Perissodactyla; Equidae. The record is from RefSeq and is a predicted model, not a curated record.